CCGAACGGCAGAAGUGGUGAUGGGCGCGUAUUUUCCGCCGGGCUCUUGACCGGCGUACUUGUGCGCGUCCGUAGGUCAGCGUGGGUUGGGGCGUGGGAGUCGUUCAUGGGAAGGUC
This 116-nucleotide ribosomal RNA is filed under the name Aureococcus anophagefferens. RNAcentral's name for it is "partial large subunit ribosomal RNA". Lineage: Eukaryota; Pelagophyceae; Pelagomonadales; Pelagomonadaceae. The record is from RNAcentral.